This is a long non-coding RNA of Ostrea edulis (European flat oyster), 2949 nucleotides long. RefSeq lists it as uncharacterized. The transcript is spliced from 3 exons. NCBI's taxonomy places the organism in Eukaryota, Metazoa, Mollusca, Bivalvia, Ostreida, Ostreidae. The record is from RefSeq and is a predicted model, not a curated record.
UGCAUGAGCGGAUCAAAGAUCUAAUUUUAAUUAGAUUGUAACACGUAUAUAUAUACAUGUUUAAUAGAGGGCGAAGCCCGUUUGCUGAUGACGUCAGUCAAUCUCCCUGAUUAAUAUGUUUUACGGCGUGACCGUGUUUGAGGGCGAAGCAAAAAAGUUUUGACAUUAGUAUCUAUAUCCAAAACAGGACAAAAACAACCCGAAGUUAGCACGCGGACGGAGCUGUAUCAAAGCAUCCUAAUUUUUGGACAUUUGAUCCACCUGUAUAUUGAACGCGGGAAAUAUAACGCAAUUGAUGUAAACAGUACAUUGUGACGUCAUAUUCAGCGUCGUUAUUUAGCAAAUUUACAAACAAAGCGUUUGAACCACAACAAAAAACAUGGCGUUAAUCGUGGAGUGAUUAUAUAUGAUUAAGAAAAUAAGAUUUACAUGCUUUUACGGAUUUUAUGUGUAACAUCUCAGAACGACGUGAACUAGGGUAGACGAGAUUCAAAAUGGAGGAAUACAUGUCCACGCGCUAAUAUUCGAAUCGACGCCAUUGGUACCAAACUUUUCAAGUUCCAUAGAACAUCAGCUGAAAUCUCCCAAUUUCAGGAGGGCCUAGAUGUGGUUUGUGGACUGUGGCAAGAGAUAAAGAAAAGUCCCAAUACAUGGAUGCCAUUGUUCUGCCACAAACAAGAGCCACUUUCCAGAGAAAGAUUCUCAGAAAUGUGUGAAUUUCUCAGGAGUCCAGAAGGAAGCAACAAGAGAAUCCAAGAAGAAGACACUAUAUAUUCAUGGGAAAUUUUGAUGCAAGAUAUUCAUAAUCAAAGAGCCCCUAUAACCUUUGAAGAACUGCUAAUUUUUAUCACAGGGGCUGACGAAAUCCCAGUCAGCGGAUUUCCAACGAAAAUUUGUAUUCAGUUCUUCACAAACGAGGAAGGUGAAACCCGCUUACCCUUUUCAUCUACAUGUGCACUUUCAUUAUCCUUGCCAAGAGGGAUUAAUGAUCCAGAAAGUCUGUCUUCCCUGAUGAGCAGGGCGAUUAAAGAGUCAUCAGGAUUUGAUAAAUGUUGAUUUUUAGCUCACCUGAGCUAAAAGCUCAAGUGAGCUUUUCUGAUCACCCGUAGUCUGUCCUUCUGUAAACUUUUAACAUUUUUGACUUCUUCUCAAAAACCACCAGGUCAAUUUCAACUAAAGUUGGCACAACUCAUCCUUAGGUAAAGGGAAUUCUAAAUUCUUAUAAUAAAGGGACAGGCCACCUUCCAAGGGGAGAUAAUCAAGAAAAGGUUAAAAUAGAGUAGGGUCAUUAAAAAAUCUUCUUUUCAAGAACCACUGAGCCAGAAAAGCUGAGGUUUAUAUGAAAGCUUCCUGAUGUAGUGCAGAUUCUAAAUUGUUAAAAUCCUGGCCACAGGGGGGUCGGAUGGGGCCACAAUAGGGGAUCAAAGUUUUACAUACAAAUAUAUAGGAAAAAUCUUUUUCUCAAGAACCACUGAGCCAGAAAAGCUGAUAUUUACAUGAAAGCUUUCUGACAUAGUGCAGAUUCAAGUUUGUUCAAAUCAUGGCCCCUGGGGGUAGGAUGGGGCCACAAGGGGGGAUCAAAGUUUUACAUACAAAUAUAUAGGAAAAAUCUUAUUCUCAAGAACCAUUGGGCCAAAGAAGUUCAAAUUAACAUGAAAGCUUUCUGACAUAGUGUAGAUUCAAGUUUGCAAAAACCAUGGCCUCCAGGGGUAGGUUGGGGCCAUAAUGGGGACUACGGUUUUACAUGCAAAUAUACAUGGAAAGUCUUCUGAUAUGGACCAAGGUGACUUAGGUGAGCGAUGUGGCCCAUGGGCCUCUUGUUUUCCAGAUGCAAACAUUCUUUACCUUAGUCACCUGAGUCAAUUAGGAUUUUGUUUUGCUGUCUGGUUUUGUCCAUUGUCAUCCCUGGUACUAGAGUUUUGAACAUUAUCAGUUUCUUCUCUGAAACAGCUGAACCAAUUUAGGUCUAUGUUUAGCGUGUAUGGGUCAAACGAUGAACUCCAUUGGGUAGGAUGGGCCGAUAAUAGGUGAUCAAAUUUUUUCAAAGGAAUAAAUAGGGGGGAAAUAUGCUGAUGAAGAACAGCAGGGUCAUAGUGAUUCAGAUGAACAUUGUGGCCCAUGGGCCUCUUGUUUUAUUACAGAUGCUUGGAGAUUUUACCCAAUUUCUAUUUACUUUACCUGCAGAACAGCAAGGCCAUGUUAGAUAUUAUAAUGACAUUGAAACAUGAUGUAUAAAAUUUAAGUUAGUUUUUGUCAUGAUCACUUGUUUAGCUCUGUUUAAAGAAGUUGCAUUUAUGAGAAUGUUCCUUUAGUUUUACUUUUUAUACCCCCCGCAACAAGUUGGGGGGGGGGAUACUGGAAUCGGGUUGUCCGUCUGUCUGUCCGUCCGUCUGUAGACGCAAUGGUUUCCGGGCUCUAAAGCAUUAUCCUUUCCACCUACCGUCACCAUAUCAUACAUAUGGACUACCCAUGGGAUGAAGAUGUUCCCUAUUGAUUUUGGGGUCAAAAGGUUAAAGGUCAAGCACAGUGGACAUUGAAGUAGCAAUAUGGUUUCCGGGCUCUAAAGCGUUAUCCUUUCCACCUACCGUCACCAUAUCAUACAUAUGGACUACCCAUGGGAUGAAGAUGUUCCCUAUCGAUUUUGGGAUCAAAAGGUCAAAGGUCAAGCACACUGGACAUCGAAGUAGCAAUAUGGUUCGGUUUGUCAUGCCAUUUGUUUUUUACACUCAGAAAAGAGGUAGUUUAUACCUAUUACCAACGCCCUUUAGGAGAUUGGGGUAAGCGGGGGGUAUUCUUAGUGAGCAUUGCUCACAGUACCUCUUGUUUCAGAAGGACUUUGCAGAAAUAUAUAAAGAAUCUACAUAUAUCAUUGAUUUCAACUGAUUAAUUUUGAUUGUCACCAACGUCAGCAGUUUUCUUCAACUGAUGAAAUAAAACAUGAUUAAAAAA